Long non-coding RNA from Meriones unguiculatus (Mongolian gerbil), 689 nucleotides. RefSeq lists it as uncharacterized. The transcript has 3 exons. Lineage: Eukaryota; Metazoa; Chordata; Mammalia; Rodentia; Muridae. The record is from RefSeq and is a predicted model, not a curated record.
GUCUGUUUCGUGCCCGCUGCCCCGCAGCUGCACGGCUGAGAACAGAAUGUUGUUCUGCAAAUGCAGUUAGCAACCUGAUCUGGCCAUGCUCUGGCGUCUGUCUCCCAGCAACCUCUUUGUCUUCGGCUGCUCUUCGUCAUUCCCAGAACCCGUGGCCCUCACAUGACCCCUGUCAUCAGGAAGGCUCCUUAUCUCCUGCAGCAGCGCUUCUGGGUUAGAAGGUAAACGGCACGGCUCGGAGCGAGGUGGAAUUCUACAAAUCACAGUAAUUUCAGGGAGAUCCAAACCGCAGUGAGCUCCAUCUGCGGCCCAGCCUUAGCCUGGUGAAGCUCUCAUCCUUAAAGGUCAGUGCAAGCCUAGUUACUGCACAGUGGUGCGCACCUAUAAGCCCGGCUUCUUGGCAGGUUGAAGCAGGAGGUCCACGAGUUCGAACACAGCUUGGCCUACACAGGUGACUGUGUCUCAGGGAUUUAUUUAUUACGUAUACAGUGUUCUGCCUGCAUGUGCACGUGCAGGCCAGAAGAGGGCACCAGAUCUCACAGAUGGCUGUGAGCCACCAUGUGGUUUCUGGGAACUGAACUCAAGAAGAGCAGCCAGUGGUCUUAACCUCGGAGCCAUCUCUCCAGCCCUGAUUAUGUACUCUUAAAACCGAUGUUUACUGCACAUUAAAUAUGCCCAAUAAAGUUUAU